CCAAUAGUGUAUAUUAAAGUUGUUGCAGUUAAAAAGCUCGUAGUUGAAUUUCGGGGUUCUACCGUCGGUCGGGCUACCAAGUCUGUACUGGUGUGUAGAAUUUCUACCUUCUGGGGAACCAUCAUGUUAUUAAUUUGGCGUGGUGGGAAACCAGGACCUUUACCUUGAAAAAAUUAGAGUGUUCAAAGCAGGCUUAUGUCUGAAUACAUUAGCAUGGAAUAAUAGAAUAGGACGGUGGUCCUGUUUUGUUGGUUUCUGAAUCACCGUAAUGAUUAAUAGGGAUAGUUGGGGGCAUUAGUAUUCAAUUGUCAGAGGUGAAAUUCUUGGAUUUAUUGAAGACUAACUUCUGCGAAAGCAUUUGCCAAGGAUGUUUUCAUUAAUCAAGAACGAAAGUUAGGGGAUCGAAGACGAUCAGAUACCGUCGUAGUCUUAACCAUAAACUAUGCCGACUAGGGAUCGGACGAUGUUAAAUUUUAUUGACUCGUUCGGCGCCUUACG
This 498-nucleotide ribosomal RNA is filed under the name uncultured Glomeromycotina. RNAcentral describes it as "partial small subunit ribosomal RNA". It matches the Rfam family "Eukaryotic small subunit ribosomal RNA", at positions 591 to 1092 of the family's 1831-position model. Lineage: Eukaryota; Fungi; Glomeromycota. The record is from RNAcentral.